This 7672-nucleotide unclassified non-coding RNA is filed under the name Daphnia magna. RNAcentral describes it as "uncharacterized LOC116930342, transcript variant X3". Lineage: Eukaryota; Metazoa; Arthropoda; Branchiopoda; Diplostraca; Daphniidae. The record is from RNAcentral.
GCUUUACCUUGAAAGAUGGAAAAGAGCUGGCCAGCCAAAGAGCGUCUACCUCGACUUUGGGACGAAGUUCCUCCUUCUUGCUUCUCCUUCUUUCGCCUUGUGUACGUUUCAUUCGAUUGCCUUUACAUUUUCUUUCCGUCUUUCAGUAAACCUCUCUUUUCUUUUCCUCGAAGAGAAGGGGAUAGCAGCCUCACCCGUUGGCUAGCUCAACACUAAGCGCACGUCUUGUGGCCAUCAACAGUCGACCAAGAGGAGGUGAAGCGGGCGGUUGGUUGGGCAGCGCUUCUACCCAAAACUUUGGUUGGUACUGAAAGAAAAACAACAAACCAAGUAAUGAAUAGUUCUCGUUACUCAUCUAUUAUUAUUUUAUUCGAAAAACUGUUGCAGCACCACGAGACUGCGCUCCAUUCCAAUUGUGACAUUCCAACAGACGUCGAACAAAAUCCCAUCAGCUGACGGGAUCUCCCAAUUGGAGGAAGAACUGUGACCCAAAGAUUUGUCAGACGCCUGGUCGUCAGGAGCAAAGACCCUGUGAAAUAAGAGGCUGUAUCUUAAGUGUUGUUGUAGUGGGUGGAGUGGGAGGUGAAUACGUACAUGGUUUCAUGCCCUUUCUUGACGGGAUCCCACCUCGCAGUGUUCUGUGUCGCUUCAAUGUGUUAUAAAAACACGGACACACCGAGAAAGAAGAGCCGGUCCGUUUCUAUAGUUGAGUCUGCAAUGAAAUGACUUUACCUUGACAGCAAAGGCGAUAACCACGCGUGUGUGUGUGUGACUGGCGUUCAACCUGCUUAUACAUCUCCUUUCGUGUAAAGAAGCUGACUGUGUGUUAAAGAAGCCAUUCACGUUCGUCUCCUGGAAGAUCUAAACAGGAACGAAAAGAAACAAAAGUGGGACGUUAUAUCAUCAAAUCGAGUUUUCCAGUUCUUUUCGGAAAUGGAAUUCAAGUUCAAUGUCAUCAUCAGAUUUUGUUGAUUAGCGUCCAGUGCGGGAAUCUUUUUUUUUUUUUUAUUAGUUUCUUUUUUCUACUGAAGAAAUUAAUAGAAAGAGGAAAAAAAACAAAAACGAAGUAGAAAAAUAACAGGUGUGUGUUUGUCACCGUGCGAAAUCCUGUUGCGCUUCUUAUCGAUCCGAUAUACCACAAAAGUAUUGAGAGGGAACAAUUUAAAAACAAAAAAACUAAUUUUACCCUUGGAUCUUUCUCGUUUGGCUGCACCGCCGUGUUUGUGUGUGUGUGUGAAAAAUGAACAUUCUUCCAGCAGCAGCAGUUGAACAUUCCCAUCGAGUGUUGGCUGACGUGUACGUGAUUCGACCAGCAAGGUGGCGCGUUCACCGUGUCCGGCUGGCCUAGCAUUCGUAUACAGUCUUUGAGCGUCGUCCGAGACGGCCACAAACUCCGCCGGUAUUUGAAAAACACAAAAACAAAAAAUGCAUUUGAUCGAAAAGACGUCAGCAGGACCAACGUCCAGUCCCGAAAUGGCCGAAGGCCAAAGACACAAUCAGCAGUUGCGGGUUAAUUCUCGUCCGUGGGAUUACGACACAGAGGACAGUGGCGUGGACAGCGUGAGCAGUUUGGCCGGUUUGGAAGCGGACAGUGGUCACGCAACGACAAGUGCGGGCAAGGCGAGCAGUGUCGAAUACUCGGCCGUCAUAGUCAGCAACAACAAGGUGAACAGUGUGGCUGAAAGCAAACAACCCGUCCAGCAAAGGAAAUCUUUCUUACACACAGUCUACGGUGGCGCCCAGCAGUCUCGGCGGUCUCCACCGACGCUGGAUUGCAACGCCAACCAGAAUUUAUUGCGCAAGAAUGUGGCCAAUAAGGCGCUCACGAAACGCGGAGGUGUGCACGGUGCGGAACAAAGUGCUGGACACGACAACCGGGCGCUCGAAUCGGCCAAAAAUCAUUUUCUGCAUAGUUUGCUGGACGACGAAGAGACCGUCGGCCUUGACCCGAGAUCCAGCCGAGCGGAACAAACACCUCCGCCGCUUGCAACAGAAUCUCCAGCUUCAUCAACGUCGGCCGCAGCUUUAGAUUUGCUACCCGAGCUGGUCCAACUGCUGGACGCCAAACGAGUGAUGGACGGCGGUUUGAUUGAGCUGGUCGGGCGAGACGGGACGAGGGCCAGUCUUCGGGUGACCUUGGCACCUCCUUCCAGUCCUUCUUUCUGCUCAUCCGCCACAUCGUCGGUCAUGACGUCACGCAAGAACAGUUUCAAUAGCCGUCUGCAUCGUAACUCGAAACGUUCAUCUCAGCGGAGAUGCAAACAGCCAGAAGUUGCAGAAGCAACGAGCCUCGCUUCCAGCAACAAGUCGGCAUCCUCUUCCGGAUCGACUCCGUCUUUGGCCAGCAACUUGUCCAGCGGCGGUACGGGUUUGAUUGGCGUUCAGCGGCCCCGCAGCGUCCGACGCCGACCUUCGCUAACGUCGCAUAAAAAAGUUGUUCCUGGCUUUAGUGUCUCGAUGGCCAUACCCCCGAGCAAAGUAGCUAUUUUGGCCUCGAAAUUCAAUUCGCUCAUCAACGAAAGUCGACGGCACAGCAACACCAGCGCCACCGCUACAACGACGACGCCUAAUCAUAACAACAACAACAACAACAACAAUACGAAUAUCAUCCGCGAUAAGAAAUCAUCGGAUGGCGUUGGUCAACCGGUUGCGGCUGAUCCGGUCGAAAUUCCGGCACCCAAUCAGCGUCCAAUCUCGUCCACGUGGUCUUGGCGUUUGGUUGGACCCACCGUCUCGACGGGCGACUCCGUCCACACCGGCCCCAAGCGAAAUAAUAUGACGUCAGGUGUCGGGAGAAGUCGGCCGAUCGAUACCAUUCCGGAAAUCCUGGAUCCGCCGCCGGAAGAGUCUGACAAAAAGUCGAGCAGCGUCGAUAAACCGCGACGGAAGAGCCACGAUCUCUCUCAACCUUAUGGCGGAAGGUUUCACUCGACAGCCAGGCCGUUGCCUUCAGAUCCAGCAGGAUCUUCUUCGUUGAAGAACCGUGAAAGUGUCUACGGCACGGUGAUGAGCAUCGUCAAACAAGCCAUCCGCAAAUUCGAGAAAUUCGAAGAUGGCAAAGUGGUGGUGGGUUGCGAUUCAACGGGUGGCAAUCCAUCGGCUCCGGCGGCUUGUUUAGAUGAUCAGGUGGCCGCCUCUUCUUGUUCUGUUCAUUACCAAGAACCGACGGCUGUUAUUCCGGAAGGAAUCGAGCCAAACAAUUCCUUUUUGUGGCGAGAUCAGAAGAGUAUGCAGAGUUUGAUCUACGAAGCGACCAGUUUCAACGAACGAGUGGCGGCAACGGCGGCCGUUUGCGGAACGAUGCGGACGAACGCCGAGCCUUGCGACUAUUACGAAAUGGGCAGCAGCAAAUACGACACGCUCCGGUCCCGACAAUCGAACGCUUACGACACGCUUCAUCAUCGAAAUCAGAGUAAAUCAUCGUCGUCUUCAUCCAGCGGCUACGACGAAAUCCAAUCGCCUUGCAGUUUGACGUCGAAUCCGUCCGAUACGGCCACAUCCGUCAAGUACGACGACGUUAAACUGACGCCCAACUGCGUGACUUACGACGAGUUGUCCUACCUCACCGGCCGGAGGCAAUCCAACGGCUACGACGAGCUGAUGCGUUCGCCUCUAUCCACCACCUCUUCCGGCGGGUACAUAGAUCCGGGCAGUAGUUCCGCGUUGGGGUACGAAAGAAUCUUGCCCCCGGAAGAUCAUUUAGCCAAUGCCGAACAGACGGAAGACGAGGACGGAAGUACGUUGCGUUAUGAAGAAUGCGGAUCACCUUCCGCCGCCAUUCAGGCAUCUUCUUCCGUCAUCACUGUGACAGCUCUCCCUGCCAUCGUGUGCGAAGAUCAGUUGGAUAGCAUCAGCUACCUUUACGACGACAUCCGCACCGUCGAUUUGGGAAGGAACAGCAGAGGCUACGGCGGAUGUUAUAGCGGUUCUAAUCAUUCAUACGAGCCCAUUUAUGCCCACCUGGGUGAAGGCACCAGUAAAAUGGGGGGUUUAAAUUCUUCUUCUUCUUCCGUGUCUUCCUCCUUGGCCGGUCAAAACGACAAAUCCAGCGACACACUGUCAGACUCAUCGGUGGAGGGCGUGCACGAAGUUUGCUCCUACAAAUUGACCCAGAUGGGCAGCGGUGCGGUUCCAGACUCGCCCGCGCCCAGUUUGGCCGGAACAUCGACAUCAACUCGGACGGGAGCGGAGCGCCGGAGCGAAACGAGCGACGAAUGGAUCGAUAUUAGCGAUCCGGACGAGCCGGCGUGGACGGUAACGCGCAUUCGCCAAAGGCACGAAGUGACCAACGCUUCCUUCGUGCGUAGAGGGCAUCGAGCCAGCCGGCGUAAACUGUCCAUUCCAAAGGCAAGUGGGCAGCAAUCAUGGUCGCAAACAAUGCGCACCCUAGUCAAGAACGGAUUCAACAAAGCGACGACGCUCUCCAAGCGCUCCGGCAAAGAUAUCCAGCAGCAACAACAACAACAAGAACAGCGGGCCGGUAAAAGCAAGCCGUCGAUGGUAGCGAGUAAUGUUGCCGGAACAAGCAAUGCAGAGGCGCCGUCUGCUACGUCGGCUGUUCAUUUGACCAAGUUAUCGGCCAGGCGACUACCUUCGGCCGAAACGGAAGCCAGCGGAACGGGUAGCAGCCAAACGUGGGAGGACUACGGCGAAAGCGACGGCGAUGAUCUGGUCGACGAUCAUCAUUACGAAGCGCUUUACGAAGUCAUUAAUCCGCGAUUGCAGUCCAGUGGGGCCGCAGCUUCCGUGACACUUUUGGAUCACAACGACGACAGUUUCGAUGAUUCAUUCGAUUCGGAUGACGCUUUUGAAGAAGUCGUGGUUCGAGGAUUGGAUGCAACAUCGGAUACGUCGAGAGAACGUCCUGGAUCGAGAUCAGGUUCGGAACGAUCCAAGGAGAGCGAAGAUCCAUCGUUACGGUCGGGUCAAGUGAAAAUCGGUCGAUUCGCUGAUUUAGCUGGUGAGCAAAUGCGCCGACUGCGUCGUAAUUGGACCACGACCAAGACGGACAUUGGUAAAUCCAUCACGCGCAUCAAGAAGAAGAGCACGGCAAGCGUAGCAGAUUUGAGUGAAGUCUUUAAAGCAUCCGCUUCGAGACGGGAAGUGUCUCCGGAUAAGGGCAACAAUGGAGCAGCCAAUAAAGAGCCGAUCUAUUCGCCAUCGCCGCCAACUUCUCCAGCUCAUCCGGAGGUCCGUCCAAACAGCGGUGAACAGAAGAAGAAAGGCACAUGGGCGAUGCGCCAAAUUCGACGCCGCAUGACUAUCGUGUCACCCACUUACGGUGCCACUGGAAACAAAGAAAAAGCUUCGACUUUCUAUCUGACGUUGACUAUCGAGCAGCCAACGACACCAGUCAAAACCAAUGACAAAAGCCUCAGUGAAACGUCCAGUCCAGAACCACAGUCGACACCCAGUCCUGUGCCACCGUUGAUUAGUCCUCAAUCUUCUGAUUCUUCCAAAGUGCCCGCUCGUCCGAAGAGGAUAUCUUCCGCCUGCUCUCUGGGUCCCCAAUAUCAAUCAACAGUUCGACCUAAAACUGCUCCACCUGCUCCACCAGUUAAAUCCUCGGUAUGGCAACAACAGGCGGCAGCCGAAUCUGCAUUGGCAGCUUCACCUCCUCCGCUGGCCAGCGUUCCAGUUAAAAAGCCUCUGUCAAGGCUGCCAACGGCCUUCAGCGAGAGCCGGAUAGCCGCUGAACGAUCCGUAUUGAUGGAUGAAUACCAAUCGAUGAAUUAUAGCGACAUUGCUUUCGUUACACAUGGACAGAGACCCAAAGACGAAAGCAGUGCUCCACUUACCUCUUUGAGUACACCUUACAGCCGACUGUCUAUGGCCAGCGUGACUUCGUCACGCCAUUCGAGCGAAACUUAUAUGGGCGUCGGUGAUCUGGCUUCUGCGCCCGAACGUUCAACGCUACAGGACAACGUCCGCAAUUAUCUGGAUCUGCAAUCGCCAAUCGAGUCGGAGGAAUUGUACAUUAGCAGUCAUUUCGCCGACGAGCCACUAUAUCAGUUUUACACAGCUGCCAUUAUUGAGCGUGCCACGCAAAACCAAGGAGAUGGAAGCGAAGAGGACGACUAUGAAGUCAUCGGUGAACACCGCCGCAAAGAGGACGAACAUCAAGACAUUAAGGGAUACAAUGCCAAAUUGCCGACAGCCAUGGAACUGGUGAUGCCAUCAAGCGGUCGCAGAACUCUGUGGUGUGAAUUACCUCAAGUCAUCAACAGCGGCCUUUUAGAAACCAUUUCACCGCAACAGCGCAAACUUCAAGAAGCCAAAUUUGAAUUGAUUACGUCAGAAGCGUCGUACCUGCGAUCGCUGAAUGUGUUGACGACCCACUUCAUACAGAGCCGUGAAUUCGCCGGAGAAACAGCCAGCGAAGCAUUGCUCACUCGACUGGAACGUCACACACUUUUCUCCGACAUUGUACCCGUGCGUGAAUGCUCUGAAGCUCUGCUAGCUGACCUGGAACAACGUUGGCAAGAGAACGUCUUUAUUCGUGAAAUAUGCGAUAUCCUCCUGGAACACGCGUCGAAACAUUUCGAAGUCUACAUCAAGUAUUGUACCAAUCAACUGUACCAGGAGCGUAUGCUCAGAGACCUCAAGGAGACCAAGCCACAGUUUGUCGAGUGUUUGCGUCGAUUAGAGUCUAGCCCCGUCUGUCAGUCAUUGGCCAUGCACAGUUUCUUGAUGUUGCCAAUGCAACGCAUCACUCGGUUACCGCUACUCGUAGACGCCAUUUUUCAUCGAUUGGAGAGCGGCACACCCGAAUUUGAACGCUGUCGGAUGACUCUUGCCACUCUGAACAAGAUUGUGCAAGAGUGUAACGAGGGAGCCCGCAAAGCUGAGCGCAUCCACGAAAUGCUGGUGGUGUCCAAUCAGUUGGAUUUUGCCGACGUCAAGGCAAUAUCUAUCAUGUCUGCUUCACGCUGGUUGGUCAAGAAAGGCGAGAUGCAGCGACUCAUGUGGCGUGACAUUGACGCCCGGCUCACGUUCGGACGCAAAAUCCACAAGCAGACAGUCUACGUUUUUCUGUUUACUGAUCUCUUGGUCAUCACUAAAAAGAAAGGAGAGGAUUCUUACGCCGUGCUGGACUAUUGCCCUCGAAACAUGGUUCAAGUGGAUGAACACAUGCGCACGGAAAAACCUAUUGGGAAACCAGGAUCAGAGCUGGGAAAGAAUUUGAUCCUCUUGACGAUGCUGCAAAACCAUGAAAACAAAACAGUAGAAAUGAUUCUCUCUUGUUCGUCUGAAUCCGAUCGGACUCGAUGGCUGGAAGCCGUCACUCCACGGACGUCUGACAAUCCAGAAGAGAAGAUCUACGAAGAAUGGGACUGCCCCCAAGUCCAGGCCAUUCAUCCUUACGUUGCCACUCAGCCGGAUGAACUGUCUCUGGAAGUCGCUGACGUAGUCAACGUCCUGCGUAAAAUGGCAGACGAUGAGGAAGAUGAUGAUGGCUCUGCUGAAAUGACUGCGCUUUGAGAUGGGUAACACACAGCUGGGAAACUUGUAUAGUGACCGAUUAACUCCAUUUAGGUUGGUAUCAAGGCGAACGGAUGCGAGACGAUCAGCGCGGCUGGUUCCCGGGCAACUACACAGUGGAAAUCGCCUCAUCUCACGUUCGAGCGCGCAAUCUACGUCAACGCUACAGAUUGCUGGCGCUAUCUGGCAA